GAUAUGGCUCAGGACGAACGCUGGCGGCGCGCCUAACACAUGCAAGUCGAACGAGAGAUGAAGAGCUUGCUCUUCAAAUCGAGUGGCGAACGGGUGAGUAACACGUGAGGAACCUGCCUCAAAGAGGGGGACAACAGUUGGAAACGACUGCUAAUACCGCAUAAGCCCACGGCUCGGCAUCGAGCAGAGGGAAAAGGAGUGAUCCGCUUUGAGAUGGCCUCGCGUCCGAUUAG
Molecule: ribosomal RNA, 233 nt
Filed under: uncultured bacterium
Lineage: Bacteria
Description: partial 16S ribosomal RNA
Rfam family: Bacterial small subunit ribosomal RNA
Source: RNAcentral